Molecule: non-coding RNA, 884 nt
Organism: Camelina sativa (false flax)
Lineage: Eukaryota; Viridiplantae; Streptophyta; Magnoliopsida; Brassicales; Brassicaceae
Source: RefSeq, a predicted model, not a curated record
CCGGCGGCUAUAUAACACACUCCCUCUCCGAAGCAGAUAUCCGGCGAUUUCCUGCUCCUGAGCACGGCGGUGAAGCCAUGGCUAUCGUCUCCAGUGUUUCUCUCGAGCUCGUGUUGCCAUUAAUCCUGUGGGUUGCCGUAGAUGUCUUUGACAUACACUGCUAGUUUCCUGAUUCCCCAUGGGACAAUGUGUAGCCAGCUUGAUCCUGCCUGAUUCAAGUGUGGUAAGCAGCAGCAUGAGACAACAGAAUGUUAUGAGCUACAACGUACGGUUCGACCGAUGACGUCCCCUUCUUACAAAACCAAUGUCCCAGAAGUGAGCACCUCCCUGGAGCCUGUAUCCCUGUGUCAUAGCCUUGGAUCGAUAACCCGUGAGGCUCAUUGAAAGUGACCCAGUACUUCACUCUAUCUCCAAAUGCUUUGAAACAGCUCCUUCAAACUGAUUUCGUGCAAGAAAAUGUUACGAUUGUCAAAAUCGUUUCACAGCUCCUUCAAACUAAUCACAUCUCUUUCUUGGAUUAGUUUGAAGAUGAUGAUGAUGAUGAAGAAGAAGAAGAUUGUCACCUGGUAAGCUGAAGAAGCUGUCCCGAACACAAACCCAUCUGGAAAUUUUGCUCUGCUGAUAGAUUCUGAGGAAACAUGAUCAAGAGGCACGAUGAAGACGAGCAAGAGCGGAAACAGAACCAAGACUAGUCUCAUUAAAGAUUCCAUUUUUGGGUCGCAUGAAUAAAAGAGAAAGAGAGAGGAAGAUAAAGGGAUGAACUUUUUUGUGUGUCAAUGAAAGAUUUGGAGGCAAGAAAAUGGAGUUUUUGUGUGUGUGUGUUUGUAAAGUUGAAGAACAAAGAGGAAGAGUGCAAAACAAAAGGUCUCGUCUUUUUAAGGCUC